This 440-nucleotide ribosomal RNA is filed under the name uncultured bacterium. RNAcentral describes it as "bacterial SSU rRNA". It matches the Rfam family "Bacterial small subunit ribosomal RNA", at positions 338 to 769 of the family's 1533-position model. The record is from RNAcentral.
CCUACGGGAGGCAGCAGUGGGGAAUUGUUCGCAAUGGGCGCAAGCCUGACGACGCAACGCCGCGUGGAGGAUGAAGAUCUUCGGGUCGUAAACUCCUUUCGAUCGGGACGAAUUCCCCGGGGGUGAACAACCUUCGGGGUUGACGGUACCGAGAGAAGAAGCCCCGGCUAACUCCGUGCCAGCAGCCGCGGUAAUACGGGGGGGGCAAGCGUUGUUCGGAAUUACUGGGCGUAAAGGGCUCGUAGGCGGCCCGCUAAGUCGGACGUGAAAUCCCUCGGCUCAACCGGGGAACUGCGUCCGAUACUGGCGGGCUUGAAUCCGGGAGAGGGAUGCGGAAUUCCAGGUGUAGCGGUGAAAUGCGUAGAUAUCUGGAGGAACACCGGUGGCGAAGGCGGCAUCCUGGACCGGCAUUGACGCUGAGGAGCGAAAGCCAGGGGAGC